RNAcentral lists this ribosomal RNA (38 nucleotides) under Plectosphaerella sp. RNAcentral describes it as "partial 28S ribosomal RNA". Lineage: Eukaryota; Fungi; Ascomycota; Sordariomycetes; Glomerellales; Plectosphaerellaceae. The record is from RNAcentral.
GGUUGACCUCGAAUCAGGUAGGAAUACCCGCUGAACUU